Molecule: long non-coding RNA, 2062 nt
Organism: Sander lucioperca (pikeperch)
Lineage: Eukaryota; Metazoa; Chordata; Actinopteri; Perciformes; Percidae
Exons: 3
Source: RefSeq, a predicted model, not a curated record
GUGAUAUCGCGAUAACAAUAUUGAGUCGAUAUAUCAUGCACCCCUACUCCCUGGCAUGAGAUUAGCCUUGAGUCUUUGCCAUAACCUGGCCAAAACCUUUGAGUAGGGAACCGCAAUCGCGCAUAUUUCAUUUUUUUUCAACACCAGCCGCUCAUCUGCUGUCACCGACCAUUUGAUGAAGAGCAAAGACGAAGUGUCAUGCAGCUGUGGUAAUACGAAGGCACCUGCCCUGAAUAAGAUGAGGUCUGUGGCCUCAGUGAGUCAUCCAGACCCUAAAGAGCUUUGUGAAAACCAAAGUGGGCUGAAUGACUGUAGCCUUCUCCCCAACCCCCACCAUGAGGCAGCUCCAAUCAUCCAGCUGAACAACAUUCACAGAAUGAGUUGUAUUAAACCGCGGGACAAGACACUGUGCAACUCUUUUGUAUGAUUCUAGUGCUUUGACUUUCAAGUAUGAUUACCUGGACGUAAUAUAUAAUACAGCUCUUGACAAGGCGAUGACUUUAAUCAAGCUUCAAAGGGAACACACUGAUCUGUUUUUUUCUUGUUCUUAAAAACACAGACGUGUGAGUCAGCCAGAAGGCUUUGCUCAGAAGUUUUACGUAUUGACAGCAUGCUUACAUGCUAAACUAAGAUGACCAUGGAAUACAUUACCUACUAAACAUCUGCAUGUUAGCAUUGUCAUUGUGAACUUAUUAGCAUGCUAAUGUUAGCAUUUAGAGUACAGCCUCACAGAGCUGCUAGAUCUCCUAAUCACAAGGCAUGUGCAAAGUAGACUCAAAUGUGGCUCGGUCCUUUCCUGAUCCAAGAUUGAACCAGUUCAUGAGGCAAUAAAAUCCCAAACAUGAUAUUGUAGAAUGCAGAUGCAUUCAAAAGUUACAGCCUCCAUCCUUAGGAUUUUAAAGGCAUUCGAUUCAUCAGAGUGUAAAAGUCUGGUCACUACAUUACCCUGCUCUGUCAAAACAUGGUUUCAAAGACACAGACCCUUCCUUGAUAUAAAUGCUUCAGUAGUCUGGUGUCUGACUUUUAUUGGAUCGCACUGUCACUGUGCCACUGUGGUUAUGGGAAAUCGUCUCCUGCUCACAAUUACCCAAUCAUGUUACAGUGGCAGGCGCCAUUCAUUGUUGUCUAUUGUGUGUAGUGGCAGAGAGCUGUUAUGCCAGACCAGAAUGAUAUUUUAAUCAGAAAUUGUCCAAUUAUGCCAAUUAUGCUGUAAAGACAGAGACAUCAACGGUCUCGUCACUUCUGAGAUUUCGCUGUAAGCAAAGUGUGGUUGGUAUUCACUGCUGGAGCAUUUGCACAAAACCGUUUGAACACAGGGAAGCAAAAAAACAGAGGAUAUGGAUGGGUAGACAUUGAGAAUCUUAAUAUCUGUUUCAUGACCAUUGUUCAAACCCAAACAAUUAAUAACACCUUGAUGCCAACAACUCUCUGAACACUUAAAAGUGUUGACUAGGUGGAGGAACAAAAGCUCUGCAGAACGCUGAUGUUGUAAGGAUGUUUUCCUACACAGAGCAGCUCUUGUUUGACUGCUGUCUCUUUUCAUGCAUGAAAUGAUCAGUCACACCUGUACAGUCACAGUAAAAGUGGUGGCUGUAAAGGUCCUGUGAUCUCAAUAAAAACACCAAACACCUGGGUCUGCUUAGCAACGAGUGUAUGCAUGUGUGCGAGUGAUAGCACAGACACGGAGGAACACACACAUGCACACACACAUUCAGAGGGAAUGAAAAGCUGAAUCUAAAGUCUGAUUGUGUUUCUGAAGUUUGCACCCACCUUCACUUUGAAGACAGUGAAAACAAAUGUGCAAAUCUCAGCUGUGAACAUAAUCCAUAGACUUUGCUAAGUAAACCUGCACCCUUUGUCCUUGGACCCAAGUUGAAGAAAACAUGAUAUGAAUUUAUGUUAUGCUUAACAGAGCAAAAGAUAAGCUCUCAUCACAUUCCUUAAAGGAGUAGUUUGACAUUUUCGGAAUUAGGCUUAUUCUCUUUCCUGCCCAGAGUUAGCUGAGAGGAUCGAUACCACUUUCUGUAGCACAGGCUACGGUAAAUAUAAAGCUGGAGCAAGG